Molecule: ribosomal RNA, 301 nt
Filed under: uncultured bacterium
Lineage: Bacteria
Description: partial 16S ribosomal RNA
Rfam family: Bacterial small subunit ribosomal RNA
Source: RNAcentral
CAGUCGCCACGGUACUACGUAGGUGGCAAGCGUUAUCCGGAAUUAUUGGGCGUAAAGCGCGCGUAGGCGGUUUUUUAAGUCUGAUGUGAAAGCCCACGGCUCAACCGUGGAGGGUCAUUGGAAACUGGAAAACUUGAGUGCAGAAGAGGAGAGUGGAAUUCCAUGUGUAGCGGUGAAAUGCGCAGAGAUAUGGAGGAACACCAGUGGCGAAGGCGACUUUCUGGUCUGUAACUGACGCUGAUGUGCGAAAGCGUGGGGAUCAAACAGGAUUAGAUACCCCCGUAGUCCCUGUCUCUUAUAC